This is a small nuclear RNA of Phyllostomus discolor (pale spear-nosed bat), 134 nucleotides long. RefSeq annotates it as U11 spliceosomal RNA. The transcript has a single exon. The record is from RefSeq and is a predicted model, not a curated record. NCBI's taxonomy places the organism in Eukaryota, Metazoa, Chordata, Mammalia, Chiroptera, Phyllostomidae.
AAAAAGGGCUUCUGUUGUGAGUGGCACACAUAGGGCAGCUUGAUUGCUCUACGUACGGAAUUGACAUCAAGAGAUUUCGGAAGCAUAACUUUUUGGUACCUGGGCAGCUAGUGAUUUUUGGUCCUGGCACCCUU